Molecule: non-coding RNA, 847 nt
Filed under: Mesoscincus managuae (Managua skink)
Lineage: Eukaryota; Metazoa; Chordata; Lepidosauria; Squamata; Scincidae
Description: partial 12S ribosomal RNA
Rfam family: Bacterial small subunit ribosomal RNA
Source: RNAcentral
AUAAAGUUUUGGUCCUAAACUUGCCGUUGUUUUUAAUCAAAAUUACACAUGCAAGCCUCCGCAUACCAGUGAGAAUGCCCAAAUACCCCAAACAGCCCAAUGGAGCAGGCAUCAGGAUCAACACAAACUUUAGCCCACAACGCCUUGCUAUGCCACACCCCCACGGGUCCACAGCAGUGAUUGACAUUAAGACAUGAGCGAAAGCUCGACUUAGUUAUGAUUACCACAGGUCGGUAAAUUUCGUGCCAGCCACCGCGGUUAUACGAAAGACCAAAAACAACAGCCCCCGGCGUAAAGAGUGACCAAGGCCAAAUCUAAAAAUUAAAGAAGAACCACCACCUAGUCGUAAAACACUACUGUAAAUGGGAACAACACCAACAAAGUGCCUUUAAACAAAAGACUGCCCAACCUCACGAAAGCUAAGAAACAAACUGGGAUUAGAUACCCCACUAUGCCUAGCCCUAAACAUUGGUGUUAUAAAUACAAUACCACCCGCCAGAGAACUACAAGCGAAAAUCUAGAAACUCCAAGGACUUGGCGGUGCUCCACACCAGCCUAGAGGAGCCUGUCCUAUAAUCGAUACUCCACGUUCAACCUUACCAUUUUUUGCCAAUCAGCCUAUAUACCGCCGUCGCAAGCCUACCUCAUGAGAGAACAACAGUAGGCAAGAUAGUUACCAACUAACACGUCAGGUCAAGGUGUAGCAUAUAAAAUGGCAGAGAUGGGCUACAUUUUUUAUCAUAAAAAAUACGAACAGCACAGUGAAACCUGUGUUCAAAGGCGGAUUUAGAAGUAAGACAGACAAGAAAGGCUGUCUAAAACCCGCUCUGGAGCGCGCACACACCGC